CAGCAGCCAUGGCUUGAAAACCAGAAAAAAUGAAGAAAGGAAGAAUAAAGAAAGCAGCAGCCAUGGCUUGAGAACCACCAAGACGGAAGAAAAGAAGAUGGAGAAGAAGCUGAUGAUGAGCAAGAAAGAAAGAAAGGAAGAAAGAAAGAAAGGAAGAAAGGAACAAGAAAUGGAAGAGGAAGUCAAGAAUAACAAACCUGAAUGCAGGACCAGCUAAGUUUCUAGAAUCUUCUUCUUCUUCUUCUUGUCACCAUCCUUCUUUUCUUCUUCCUCAUCAGAACCAACAUCUUCAAUUUCAGGUUUGUCUUCCGACUCUUUCUCUUCUUUUUCUUUUUCUUCUUCUCGGACUUCUCCUCAUCUGAGGAUGCAACAUCGUUAUUCUCUUUGUCCUUCUUUUUCUUUUCCUUUUUCACAGACUCCACAUCAGGGGAUGCAGCUUCAUCAGCUUCUUUCUUCUUUUUCUUCUUCUUUUCUUUUUUCAGUUCAGACUUAUCCAAUGCUUCCUCGACUACCUCUACCUUUGGUUUCUUUAAAGCACUGGGUGCAGGGGAUACAUCUAAAUCAUCCAAUUUUCUCUUGUUAGCGUCCUCAUCAUCUUCCUUGUGUUUCUUCUUUUUCUUCUCAACCUCAACUGCAGCACCAUCAGCAGCCACUGCAUCAGGAUCAGAUUUCACAGUAGCAGCAGCAAGACCAGCAACUAGAGUAUCCUCUUUGGUAGAUAAAACAACAUUUCUCGUCCACUCAGCUGGAGUUUUAUCAUUUGGCUUACCAUGUUUAUCCAACUUACCCUCAGCAACCAACUUCUUCUUCAUUGAAGCCCUUGGUCCUAAGCCCCAUUUCCUAGGAUAAGUAUCCCUAUCCAUCACCACUCUCUUAAUCUUUGCAACCACACCAUGAUCACAAGUUCCCAUAACAGCUGUGGUCAUCUCUGCUAUCCCCAACGCGAUGGCCUCCCCCUUAGUAGUCAUCAGCACAACCUCCUCUCCAACCUCAAUAUCAUUCUCAAAUCUUAAAAGCCCAGGAAUCAUCAACUUUGCACCAUAGCAAAUAGCAUUAACUGCCGAAUCCUUAACCACCAACCUCUUAUAACUAGUCAAAACUACCUCCAACGGCAUAAUGACCCUCCUCAAGUAAGUCUCAUCCCUAUAGUUAUCGUACAUCCAUUGUGCAUCCAUCACAUCAUGCAUUGUCACCAUAUUAUUCUUCUCACCCAAAAUCCCAGACCUCACUCUCCUAAGCUCCUGCAUAUGUCCACCCACACCCAAAAGCAACCCAAGAUGAACACACAAUGUCCUAACAUAAGUACCCGCCUCACAGGAUAUCCAAAAAACAACCAAAUGCCUUUCAGCAUCAUACUCAAGCAACUUACUUUCAUAAAUAGUCCU
Molecule: unclassified non-coding RNA, 1385 nt
Filed under: Hevea brasiliensis (rubber tree)
Lineage: Eukaryota; Viridiplantae; Streptophyta; Magnoliopsida; Malpighiales; Euphorbiaceae
Source: RNAcentral